RNAcentral lists this ribosomal RNA (497 nucleotides) under uncultured bacterium. RNAcentral describes it as "partial 16S ribosomal RNA". It matches the Rfam family "Bacterial small subunit ribosomal RNA", at positions 28 to 507 of the family's 1533-position model. The record is from RNAcentral.
GAUGAACGCUGGCGGCGUGCCUAAUACAUGCAAGUCGAGCGAACAGACGAGGAGCUUGCUCCUCUGACGUUAGCGGCGGACGGGUGAGUAACACGUGGAUAACCUACCUAUAAGACUGGGAUAACUUCGGGAAACCGGGGCUAAUACCGGAUAAUAUAUUGAACCGCAUGGUUCAAUAGUGAAAGACGGUUUUGCUGUCACUUAUAGAUGGAUCCGCGCCGCAUUAGCUAGUUGGUAAGGUAACGGCUUACCAAGGCAACGAUGCGUAGCCGACCUGAGAGGGUGAUCGGCCACACUGGAACUGAGACACGGUCCAGACUCCUACGGGAGGCAGCAGUAGGGAAUCUUCUGCAAUGGGCGAAAGCUUGACGGAGCAACGCCGCGUGAGUGAUGAAGGUCUUCGGAUCGUAAAACUCUGUUAUUAGGGAAGAACAAAUGUGUAAGUAACUAUGCACGUCUUGACGGUACCUAAUCAGAAAGCCACGGCUAACUACGUG